UAAGCGGAGGAAAAGAAACUAACAAGGAUUCCCCUAGUAACUGCGAGUGAAGCGGGAAAAGCUCAANUUUAAAAUCUGGUGGUCUUUGGCCAUNCGAGUUGUAAUCUAGAGAAGCGUCUUCCGCGCUGGACCGUGCACAAGUCUCCUGGAACGGAGCGUCGUAGAGGGUGAGAAUCCCGUCUUUGGCAUGGACACACCAGGGCUUUUGUGAUGCGCUCUCGAAGAGUCGAGUUGUUUGGGAAUGCAGCUCAAAAUGGGUGGUGAACUCCAUCUAAAGCUAAAUAUUGGCGAGAGACCGAUAGCGAACAAGUACCGUGAGGGAAAGAUGAAAAGCACUUUGGAAAGAGAGUGAAACAGUACGUGAAAUUGUUGAAAGGGAAACGCUUGAAGUCAGUCGCGUCGACCGAGACUCAGCCUCGCCUCGGCUUGGUGUACUUCUCGGCCCGACGGGUCAGCAUCAAUUUCGCCUCUUGGAUAAUGGCGAGGGAAACGUGACACCUUUACGGUGUGUUAUAGUCUCUCGUCGCAUGCAAGGGUCGGGAUUGAGGGACUCAGCACGCGCCUUUGGGCGUCGGGGCUUUGCCUACGAUACGUGCUUAGGAUGUUGGCGUAAUGGCUUUAAACGACC
This 628-nucleotide ribosomal RNA is filed under the name uncultured Russulaceae. Its description in RNAcentral is "LSU rRNA". It matches the Rfam family "Eukaryotic large subunit ribosomal RNA", at positions 47 to 649 of the family's 3401-position model. Lineage: Eukaryota; Fungi; Basidiomycota; Agaricomycetes; Russulales; Russulaceae. The record is from RNAcentral.